AGGACGAACGCUGGCGGCGCGCCUAACACAUGCAAGUCGAGCGAGAACCAGGGCUUGCCCUGGGGACAGCGGCGAACGGGUGCGUAACACGUGAGCAACCUGCCCCAAAGACCGGGACAACCCGAGGAAACUCGGACUAAUACCGGAUGCCCUCACCGGGUCGCAUGGUCUGGUGAGGAAAUGGAUUCCGCUUUGGGAUGGGCUCGCGGUCUAUCAGCUUGUUGGUGGGGUAACGGCCUACCAAGGCGACGACGGAUAGCUGGUCUGAGAGGACGAUCAGCCACACUGGGACUGAGACACGGCCCAGACUCCUACGGGAGGCAGCAGUGGGGAAUAUUGCGCAAUGGGCGAAAGCCUGACGCAGCGACGCCGCGUGGGGGAUGAAGGCCUUCGGGUUGUAAACCCCUUUCAGUUGGGACGAAGCUCCGCCGGUGAAUAGCCGGCUGGAGUGACGGUACCUUCAGAAGAAGCCCGGCUAACUACGUGCCAGCAGCCGCGGUAA
This 502-nucleotide ribosomal RNA is filed under the name uncultured bacterium. RNAcentral's name for it is "SSU rRNA". It matches the Rfam family "Bacterial small subunit ribosomal RNA", at positions 26 to 523 of the family's 1533-position model. The record is from RNAcentral.